CCUACGGGGGGCUGCAGUGAGGAAUAUUGGUCAAUGGACGAGAGUCUGAACCAGCCAAGUAGCGUGAAGGAUGACUGCCCUAUGGGUUGUAAACUUCUUUUAUAUGGGAAUAAAAUGUUCCACGUGUGGGAUUUUGUAUGUACCAUAUGAAUAAGGAUCGGCUAACUCCGUGCCAGCAGCCGCGGUAAUACGGAGGAUCCGAGCGUUAUCCGGAUUUAUUGGGUUUAAAGGGAGCUUAGGUGGAUUGUUAAGUCAGUUGUGAAAGUUUGCGGCUCAACCGUAAAAUUGCAGUUGAAACUGGCAGUCUUGAGUACAGUAGAGGUGGGCGGAAUUCGUGGUGUAGCGGUGAAAUGCUUAGAUAUCACGAAGAACUCCGAUUGCGAAGGCAGUUCACUGGACUGCAACUGACACUGAGGCUCGAAAGUGUGGGUAUCAAACAGGAUUAGGUACCCGAGUAGUC
This 460-nucleotide ribosomal RNA is filed under the name uncultured bacterium. RNAcentral's name for it is "partial 16S ribosomal RNA". It matches the Rfam family "Bacterial small subunit ribosomal RNA", at positions 338 to 795 of the family's 1533-position model. The record is from RNAcentral.